This 71-nucleotide transfer RNA is filed under the name Gastroptychus investigatoris. RNAcentral's name for it is "tRNA-Val". Lineage: Eukaryota; Metazoa; Arthropoda; Malacostraca; Decapoda; Chirostylidae. The record is from RNAcentral.
UAAUAUUAAGCUAAAGUUUAAGCAUUCUGUUUACACCAGAAAAAAUUAUUGUAUAAACCAAUAAAUAUUAA